GAUGAACGCUAGCGGCAGGCCUAAUACAUGCAAGUCGAACGGUAACAUUGGUGCUUGCACCAGAUGACGAGUGGCGCACGGGUGCGUAACGCGUAUGCAACCUACCUUUUACUAGAGUAUAGCCCAGAGAAAUUUGGAUUAAUCCUCUAUAACAUCUUUUAAUUUCAUGAUUUUAAGAUUAAAGUUUUAACGGUAAAAGAUGGGCAUGCGUCCUAUUAGUUUGUAGGUGAGGUAACGGCUCACCUAGACUACGAUAGGUAGGGGCCCUGAGAGGGGGAUCCCCCACACUGGUACUGAGACACGGACCAGACUCCUACGGGAGGCAGCAGUAAGGAAUAUUGGACAAUGGACGAAAGUCUGAUCCAGCCAUGCCGCGUGCAGGAUGACAGCCCUACGGGUUGUAAACUGCUUUUAUACAGGAAGAAACACUCCGACGUGUCGGAGCUUGACGGUACUGUAAGAAUAAGGAUCGGCUAACUCCG
RNAcentral lists this ribosomal RNA (482 nucleotides) under uncultured Flavobacteriaceae bacterium. Its description in RNAcentral is "bacterial SSU rRNA". It matches the Rfam family "Bacterial small subunit ribosomal RNA", at positions 28 to 505 of the family's 1533-position model. Lineage: Bacteria; Pseudomonadati; Bacteroidota; Flavobacteriia; Flavobacteriales; Flavobacteriaceae. The record is from RNAcentral.